Long non-coding RNA from Struthio camelus australis, 2292 nucleotides. NCBI's taxonomy places the organism in Eukaryota, Metazoa, Chordata, Aves, Struthioniformes, Struthionidae. The record is from Ensembl.
AAUCUACUUCAUUGCCCUCAUCCUCCACAGGCAGAGAUUCCCCUUUCAGGAGGUCAGAUAGAUCAAGAGAGUCAUUCAGGCCAUUCUGGAGACACCAUGGCACCUUUUCCUCCAGCAGGAACUCAUUCUUGCCACUGAAGCACAAAGUGCUUCCUCACAGAGAAAUUGAAGAUAUCCUGAAAGAAAUGUCCUACACACCUUUUCAAGAGCACGGUGAUUAUUUUCUGAGAUACUGGGAUGCUAGCAAUGAGUGGAGCAGACAACGUAUUUGUCAGGUGUUGAUCAGAAAUAUCAGGAGGGACUUUCUGACUUUCUGUAAGCUGGAAGACCUGGAGAGCUUGGAGCUGAGAGCAAGAAAACUCAUCCAGCACAACAGCUCAGCUUCUAACCAAGACCUUUGCAUUCAGAAGGAGAAACUAUAUUGCUGGAUUCUGGCAGCGAUGUUUGUUCAUGUUUCCACAACAAACAACGUGAAACUUAAAGCUCUGCUGAGGGGAAUGGUCUUUGUAAAACACACUGUUCCUUCAGGGGAGAGAAAUUAUGAGUAUCUGUGCAUUAGUGCCUACCAAAAAAUCAGAGCAGCCAUCUCCAUUGCUGUAAAGAAGCAAAGGCACUGGCCAAAUUUCAUAGAAACAUAUCUGAAGCACUUGGAAACUUUNNNNNNNNNNNNNNNNNNNNNNNNNNNNNNNNNNNNNNNNNNNNNNNNNNUUCCAGUCCAUCCAGAAGCAGCUCCAGAGAGUACCCUGGAUGAUAAGACAUGUCUUUACUCUUGUUAUUACUGAAAAGGUGUUUGAAGCCAAACUGCUUGCAGUUAGCCAGUCCUUCCUCCUCUAUGUGUGCACAAAGUUGGGGAAAAAUCACUGGGAGAUUUUAUUGGAAAUCACUGAGCGCAUCACCGAACAUAUCCAAGCCAGCCACACACAAGGGGCAGUAACAGAGUGCCUGGAUCUUCUCCAAAGCCUAUGGGAAUGGUGCAUAAGAACUGCCACCAAAGAGAAGAAGCCUUUGGUAAUGACCAUCCUCAAUCAUUUCUUCCAAAAGUUGCUUUACCACCCACUGAGUGAAGUAAGACACUGCAUCGCACUACUGCUCUUUAGUGAGAAUGGUGCAUGCAUGCAUGUUACUGAGCUGGGAAACAAAAUGAUUCCAGCUGAUCCUAGCCACGUUGAGGCAGCUCUCCAAGAUUAUCUGAAGCUCACCUUCCCCGAUUUAGCCCUCAAGGGACAGCUGAAGGCAAAUGACAAUAGCAUGAUCGUGCAAGGAGUCAUACCUGCAGGCAAUGUGAAGAUCUGCAUAGCGAAACAACAGACCCUGAAUGACAUCUUGCAGACGAACACCACCAACAGUGACUGUGAAAGGUUUCAAGAAGUGAUCAGAAUAGUGGUUCUGUGUGCAGAUAGGGAGUCCAUUGCCAAGCUGCAAAUGUCCAGUGCCUAUGGAGUGCCUCCUUUGUACAUGUUGGAAGAUGGGAACCCACUCUUGGCUUUCCUGCAGGAAAAGAGAAAUAAGCUCACCCUAUCCAAUAUGUUAGGCAUUUUAAAGGACAUUGCCAGAGCUGUCUGGUCCUGUCACCAGAAAAGGGUAUUACUUUGCGACGUCACACCAGCCAGCUUCAUCGUGUUCACAGGUGGUGGACAAGGAACAAGAGCUCUUCAGAUUCGGGCUAAGCUGUCUAAUUUCCUCCAGGCCAGGCUGGCUCCUUCAGAGGAUGAGAAAGAUUAUUCUGCUAGUGAUUUUCCUUAUGAAAACAUCAAAUACUCACAGGUCACAGGGGACAGUAAGGAACCACUGUCCAUAUACUUCAGUGCUCCUGAGUCCCUGAAGUAUCAUAUCUUCUCUGCUUUCUCUGACGCAUGGGCCAUUGCUGCGACAUUUUACUCCAUUCUCCUGUAUGGUGGGCAGACAUACUUUGAACUCAGGCACUUGCCUGUGUCCAGGUUCAUAGAAGAGAUGUGCAGUGGGCACAGAGCACAAAGACCAGACUCAAUUCCCCUGAAGCUGUGGGACAUGAUAGCCCCUAACUUGGAGCAUAAUGAGACAGAGCGUACAUCCAUGGAGGCAUUGGUAGAGCACUUGAAAAACUACCGUAGUACCCUGGCUUCAGGAUCCAUUUCAAGAGACAUCCCAGUAGGGUCGGGUCUGGACAAGCGGCAUGAGAUAACGAGUCAGUUCUCUCCCAUCUGCGAGGAAGAUAUCAUAAGGGGCUACGUUGACAGCAAAGGCAACUUCAAAGAGAGUGAUCCACCAAAUGUAUUUCCAGGCACGUGCGAAGACAGUGUUGAGUGGAAGUGA